Molecule: ribosomal RNA, 403 nt
Filed under: uncultured bacterium
Lineage: Bacteria
Description: bacterial SSU rRNA
Rfam family: Bacterial small subunit ribosomal RNA
Source: RNAcentral
UGAGGAAUAUUGCACAAUGGGCGCAAGCCUGAUGCAGCAACGCCGCGUGCGGGACGAAGGCCUUCGGGUCGUAAACCGCUUUUCUGGGGGAAGAGCAAGGACGGUACCUCAGGAAUAAGUCUCGGCUAACUACGUGCCAGCAGCCGCGGUAAAACGUAGGAGGCGAGCGUUAUCCGGAUUUACUGGGCGUAAAGAGUGCGUAGGCGGUUUUCUAAGUUCGGUGUGAAAUCUCCCGGCUUAACUGGGAGGGUGCGCCGAAGACUGGGAAGCUGGAGUGUGGGAAAGGCAGGCGGAAUUCCUGGUGUAGCGGUGGAAUGCGUAGAUAUCAGGAGGAACACCGGCGGUGUAGACGGCUUGCUAGACCAUAACUGACGCUGAGGCACGAAAGCGUGGGUAGCAAACA